CGUACGGGUGAGUAACACGUGGAUCAUCUACCUUUUAGUGGGGAAUACCGCUGGGAAACCGGCGACAAUACCGCAUAAGCCCGAGAGGGGAAAGCAGCAAUGCGCUAGAAGAGGAGUCCGCGGCUGAUUAGCUAGUUGGUGAGGUAAGAGCUCACCAAGGCAACGAUCAGUGGCCGGCCUGAGAGGGCACACGGCCACACUGGCACUGAAACACGGGCCAG
Molecule: ribosomal RNA, 221 nt
Filed under: uncultured bacterium
Lineage: Bacteria
Description: partial 16S ribosomal RNA
Rfam family: Bacterial small subunit ribosomal RNA
Source: RNAcentral